RNAcentral lists this ribosomal RNA (434 nucleotides) under uncultured Lachnospiraceae bacterium. Its description in RNAcentral is "partial 16S ribosomal RNA". It matches the Rfam family "Bacterial small subunit ribosomal RNA", at positions 341 to 792 of the family's 1533-position model. Lineage: Bacteria; Bacillati; Bacillota; Clostridia; Lachnospirales; Lachnospiraceae. The record is from RNAcentral.
ACGGAAGGCAGCAGUGGGGAAUAUUGCACAAUGGGGGAAACCCUGAUGCAGCGACGCCGCGUGAGUGAAGAAGUAUUUCGGUAUGUAAAGCUCUAUCAGCAAGGAAGAAAAUGACGGUACUUGACUAAGAAGCCCCGGCUAACUACGUGCCAGCAGCCGCGGUAAUACGUAGGGGGCAAGCGUUAUCCGGAUUUACUGGGUGUAAAGGGAGCGUAGACGGCGAUGCAAGUCUGAAGUGAAAGCCCGGGGCUCAACCCCGGAACUGCUUUGGAAACUGUAUAGCUAGAGUGCAGGAGAGGUAUGUGGAAUUCCUAGUGUAGCGGUGAAAUGCGUAGAUAUUAGGAGGAACACCAGUGGCGAAGGCGACAUACUGGACUGUAACUGACGUUGAGGCUCGAAGGCGUGGGGAGCAAACAGGAUUAGAUACCCUGGUA